Molecule: unclassified non-coding RNA, 647 nt
Filed under: Hevea brasiliensis (rubber tree)
Lineage: Eukaryota; Viridiplantae; Streptophyta; Magnoliopsida; Malpighiales; Euphorbiaceae
Source: RNAcentral
GAAAAGUAAAGUUCUGUUUCUUCGUCUAGUUUAAAUCCGUUGUGGAUUUCAUUGGCAAUCACCGUUAUAAUUUAAUACAAUAGCGUUACAAGAAACCCUGAUGUUGUAAUAAUUACUGGGGCGUUUUCUUGUACUUAAUUUUUGAAUCCUGUGACCUUUUUAUACAUUGUUGCAUGGAGAUGGACGAAGAAGGAGAUGAAUCUGACUUGAGUGCUCUUGAAAUUGCAAGGAUUACAAACAUGUGUGAAAUUCAUUUUAUCAAAGCUCAACUGGUGAACUCUGACAUAGAUAGGAUAAUGGGCAGUAAUAACAAAUUAACAAGUAGUUUGUGGUUAUUAAAGUGGCUCUUGAUGGAAACUAGGUUGCCUGUGUUACAUACGUGGAUUUGACCAUUCUUGUCUGUUCAAUGAAACAUCCUCUGACAACUAGUAAGUGUUGGUUACUGUUAUCAUCUUCUUUUGUGUCAGUCCAUGUCUUUAUGAAUCUUCCUCUUGUUCUUUUAAUGCUUUCUACUCGUAAGAAGUCACCUUUUUUUGUACCGGUGCAUUCCUUGGCCUAUCUCGUUCUUAUGCAAACUAUUGUUAAUCAAUCCAUCUCUGUCAUCAAAUGGUACAACCUCUAGUUUUUUCUGGAUAUUUUGUUCCCUA